Molecule: ribosomal RNA, 253 nt
Filed under: uncultured bacterium
Lineage: Bacteria
Description: partial 16S ribosomal RNA
Rfam family: Bacterial small subunit ribosomal RNA
Source: RNAcentral
UACGGGGGGGGCAAGCGUUGUUCGGAAUUACUGGGCGUAAAGGGUUCGUAGGUGGCCAACUAAGUCAGACGUGAAAUCCCUCAGCUCAACUGGGGAACUGCGUCUGAUACCGAUUGGCUUGAGUGCAGGAGAGGAACGCGGAAUUCCAGGUGUAGCGGUGAAAUGCGUAGAUAUCUGGAGGAACAUCGGUGGCGAAGGCGGCAUCCUGGACCGGUAUUGACGCUGAGGCGCGAAAGCCAGGGGAGCAAACGGG